CCUACGGGAGGCAGCAGUGAGGAAUAUUGGUCAAUGGGCGGGAGCCUGAACCAGCCAAGUCGCGUGAGGGAAGACGGUCCUAUGGAUUGUAAACCUCUUUAGGCGGGGAGCAAUGCCGGGCACGUGUGCCCGGAGGGAGAGUACCCGCAGAAUAAGCAUCGGCUAACUCCGUGCCUGCCGCCGCGGUAAUACGGAGGAUGCGAGCGUUAUCCGGAUUGAUUGGGUUUAAAGGGUGCGUAGGCGGAUUUUUAAGUCAGCGGUAAAAUGUCCGGGCUCAACCCGGGCCGGCCGUUGAAACUGGGGAUCUUGAGUGGGCGAGAAGUAUGCGGAAUGCGUGGUGUAGCGGUGAAAUGCGUAGAUAUCACGCAGAACUCCGAUUGCGAAGGCAGCAUACCGGCGCCCGACUGACGCUGAGGCACGAAAGCGUGGGGAUCGAACAGGAUUAGAUACCCGAGUAGUC
Molecule: ribosomal RNA, 460 nt
Filed under: uncultured bacterium
Lineage: Bacteria
Description: partial 16S ribosomal RNA
Rfam family: Bacterial small subunit ribosomal RNA
Source: RNAcentral